Molecule: long non-coding RNA, 315 nt
Organism: Ictalurus punctatus (channel catfish)
Lineage: Eukaryota; Metazoa; Chordata; Actinopteri; Siluriformes; Ictaluridae
Source: Ensembl
UUGUUUUAGGGUUAGGGAAGGUCUUGGUAGGGUUAGAGUUAGGGAAGGUAUUGGUAGGGUUAGGGAAAGGUCUUGGUAGGGUUAGAGUUAGGGAAGGUAUUGGUAGGGUUAGGGAAGGUAUUGGUUGGGUUAGAGUUAGGGAAGGUAUUGGUAGGGUUAGGGAAGGUAUUGGUUGGGUUAGGGUUAGGGAAGGUAUUGAUUGGGUUAGGGUUAGGGAAGGUAUUGGUUGGCAUUGCAGAGUGAAGAACUCACCACUGUAGGUCUCUAGAUCGCUUUGGACGAGGACUUUUGUACAGCACCCUCUAUGUAGGGGAC